Molecule: ribosomal RNA, 497 nt
Filed under: uncultured bacterium
Lineage: Bacteria
Description: partial 16S ribosomal RNA
Rfam family: Bacterial small subunit ribosomal RNA
Source: RNAcentral
GAUGAACGCUGGCGGCGUGCCUAAUACAUGCAAGUCGAGCGAACGGACGAGAAGCUUGCUUCUCUGAGGUUAGCGGCGGACGGGUGAGUAACACGUGGAUAACCUACCUAUAAGACUGGGAUAACUUCGGGAAACCGGAGCUAAUACCGGAUAAUAUUUUGAACCGCAUGGUUCAAAAGUGAAAGACGGUCUUGCUGUCACUUAUAGAUGGAUCCGCGCUGCAUUAGCUAGUUGGUAAGGUAACGGCUUACCAAGGCAACGAUGCAUAGCCGACCUGAGAGGGUGAUCGGCCACACUGGAACUGAGACACGGUCCAGACUCCUACGGGAGGCAGCAGUAGGGAAUCUUCCGCAAAGGGCGAAAGCCUGACGGAGCAACGCCGCGUGAGUGAUGAAGGUCUUCGGAUCGUAAAACUCUGUUAUUAGGGAAGAACAUAUGUGUAAGUAACUGUGCACAUCUUGACGGUACCUAAUCAGAAAGCCACGGCUAACUACGUG